AAAAGAAAAGGAAAUAACUGAGAUUAAAAAAGAAAAGGAAAUAACUGAAAUUCAAAAAGAAAAGGAAAUAACUGAGACUCAAAAAGAAAAGGAAAUAACUGAGAUUAAAAAAGAAAAGGAAAUAGCUGAGACUCAAGGUGAGAGGGAAAUAACUGAGAUUAAAAAAGAGAAGGAAAUGAGUGAGACUCAAAGUGGGGGGGCAACAACAGAGAGUGAAGUUUCUCUUGAGAAAACCAGUGUAAGUCCAGCAGGCUCUGAGAAGUCCUUCAAGGAAGGAAAGCAGGUGACAUUUAAAGAAGAAGAUGAAAUUUUUACUCCUGAAGUGGAUAAUGAAUGUGAAGAGAGAGAUUAUGAGGACAGUCUUUCUGAUAGUUCUGAUGGGACACCUACUGACUCAAAGGAAGAGGAAGGACCUGCUGGGAUUUAGGAGGACAGCACAGCAGGCGCAAACAACAGCAACAAGGCCUGAAGAUUCUGGAAUGCCCCACACCCUGACAUCAUUCAAAGUUCAUGGGCUCUGAGCCGGGAAAAGAAAUAUUUUAAAUGAACUCUGUCAUUUUGGGUCAGAAGAUGGAUCAACUAACCUUGCAGAAUAUGCCGGAAGGUUGCUAAUGACUAUAUAAGUGCUGUUUGUUGUUGGGUUUUUUUUCUUUUCUUUUUUUUUUUUUUUUUUUUUACUUUUU
Long non-coding RNA from Gambusia affinis (western mosquitofish), 683 nucleotides. RefSeq lists it as uncharacterized. The record is from RefSeq and is a predicted model, not a curated record. The transcript is spliced from 2 exons. NCBI's taxonomy places the organism in Eukaryota, Metazoa, Chordata, Actinopteri, Cyprinodontiformes, Poeciliidae.